Molecule: transfer RNA, 64 nt
Filed under: Cryptocercus shangmengensis
Lineage: Eukaryota; Metazoa; Arthropoda; Insecta; Blattodea; Cryptocercidae
Also listed under: 1 other name
Description: tRNA-Asn
Source: RNAcentral
UUAACUGAAACCAAAAAGAGGUAUAUUACUGUUAAUAAUAUUAUUGAAAAUUAUUCCAGUUAAA